AGAUACCCCACUAUGCUUAGUCGUAAACCCGCAAUCUUACACGCUCGCCAGAAAAUUACAAGCAGCCAGCUUAAAACUCAAAAGACUUGACAGUAUUUCAUAUCAACCUAGAGGAGCCUGUCCUACAAUCGAUAACCCACGCUCAACCUCACCCGCCUUUGCAACAACAGUCUAUAUACCUCCGUCGCCAGCCCGCCUGAAAACAGAAAAAUAGCGUGUGCAAUAGCCCACCACUAAUACGACAGGUCAAGGUGUAACUUAUAGGCCGGGCAGCGAUGGGCUACAUUUCUUAACAUAAGAAACACCGACUCCGCCAUGAAAUCUGCGACAAAAGGUGGAUUUAGCAGUAAGUCAGGCAAGAAAAGCCUGUCUGAAAUAUGCCCUG
This 385-nucleotide ribosomal RNA is filed under the name Uroplatus henkeli. RNAcentral's name for it is "partial small subunit ribosomal RNA". It matches the Rfam family "Bacterial small subunit ribosomal RNA", at positions 780 to 1376 of the family's 1533-position model. The record is from RNAcentral. Lineage: Eukaryota; Metazoa; Chordata; Lepidosauria; Squamata; Gekkonidae.